This is a long non-coding RNA of Meleagris gallopavo (turkey), 2570 nucleotides long. Lineage: Eukaryota; Metazoa; Chordata; Aves; Galliformes; Phasianidae. The record is from Ensembl.
GUCUUUCUCAGCGUAAUGUUACUCCUUCCACAAUCCAGAGCCCACCUAACCAUCCUCCACAGCCAAAGGGCAGGCUUGUUCCUGAUACUGUGAUCACAUUUUGCUUACUAAUGUGGCUUUGAUGUGAAGCAAGAUGUGUAUUCCUUUAACAAUUUAGUUAGUACAUCCAAAAUGAGGAAGGUCAUUGAAGUGUAAUGGGUGGCUGCAAGACAGGUUCUCCUCUCAGAUUUAGGAAAUAUUAUAUAGAUAGGAGCCAUGUGUUUCAUAAUAAUGCUUAUGUUUAGUAAGAAUUGAAGUUUAUGCUUUAAGGACGGAUUUCUAUUAAGUAUUGUGCACUCAAGAAGUGGGUUAGGAGCAUCUGCAAAAGUCAGGGUGAAGGAAUUGGCAUUUCACCUGAAGAGGAGAGGAAGAGAAGCUGCAAAGAAGAGUGAACACAGUGAAUAUUUCAGCUCCAGAUUUCUAGUUUCAGUGCAGAGUGUAGGAGCCACGGGAAAUGUCAGGCAAGGGGCUGUGAUGCCAGAGGUCUGUGUUGCAAUACCUAAGUUGAACAGAUUCCUCCAAGCAGAUGCCGUGAGCUUGAGUUCAUGAGCCUUUGCUCUGCGUGGGGAAUGGUUGGCAGCUGAAAGGAUGUGCACUUUUUGCUGAAAUAGGCCUGAGCCUUUACAUUUUUUACACAUGAACUUACGUUUUAAGGCUCACCCUAGGCGUAUAAAACAAACGCUUUUUUUAAAGCACGUAAAUCAAGUUGGAUGUCAACUGGAAUUUCCCAGGAGAAUAUUCAUAUUCAGUGACUGAAAGGAUUUAUUCUCUGUUUACAUUUAUGAGAUUUGGCAACAGUUAAUGGAAGUAGAAAAGUCAGCUAUCUUCUUUUAUAGCAGGUGCUUUGUGAAGUUCCAUAUUGCUCUGGAUUUCAGAGACAGAUGCUGCUUCAUGUACCCAGGAUCUCUUUCAAAUUCAGCUAAUUCAGAUCAGGAAGCUGACCCAACUCAUCAUUUGUUGCACAACGACUGGAGCUGGCAGGACAGGGAACUGCAGCCAGAAACCGCAAGUAAUGCUCGUUUGGCACCAAUAUGGUCUUCGGUGGACUUCAGGAUUUGAUUUUAUAAUGCACUAAUUAGCACCAAGGACAGUGGUUAAUAAAAAAGCACCUUCAGUAGUUUGAAAAACAACAUGGCGUGGUAUUCCAGGACCCAGCUGCAGAUGGUCAUGCUUAGAACCAUCUAAGCAUCCUAUGGAAAGGAUUGUUAGUUUAAACUGACCACGAGAGGUGGUUUGCCACCACUAUAGGUAGAAAAGCGAGGCAUAGAAUAACUGAAUAAAACACAAAAUAAAACUGUAAGGUAAAGUCAAUAGAGAAUUCCCAUUGUGCUUCCUUUUACCAAUUUCUCCAGUAUUUUUCAGAACAGACUAGAAAAAUAUUAAAAAAAAAAAAGUUUAAUGACAAUUUACAAAUAUACAAUACUUACAUUUUCAAAAGUUACAAAAAUGGUACUUUAACAGAAACCAAAAGCUUCAUCUGACCUUUGGUACAUUUCAAAAUUAGUUAUUUACAAAGAAAAAAAUCACAGUCACUUUUCAUAGUGUCAAUGUUUACAUGUAAGCAUCCCUCAGUUAAAAAACAUCUCACAGCUUACCCACAGGCACUUUUUGCAGUUUGAGCUCUGCACCCAUCCAUCACAUUGAGAAUUCUAUCAGCCCCCGUUAAGCUGACAUGACAUUGCAUUAUUAUGUUUUAACAGACUUUAGUUUGAAGAAUAUGUAUAACCAUCACGCUAAACUGAUUCACAGUUGGUGACAUUUCACCUGGUGCAUUUUGUAUUGCUUAUGGCUUGGUACAAUGACACAGGCUUCCUUUUCUAAUUAGCUUGUAAUACACGUUAAGAAAAAAAAAAAUGGACUAAUUUUAUUAGGUAGUAUAAUUCCAUCUCUUCAUAGAGGAAAUUAAAAACAAAAGUGUUCUUCCCAUGCUGUUAUUUCACCUCAUGAAAUUUGUAUAUUAAACCCUUUCUUCACCAUGCACAAUUUUUGCCUAAAGGUAACAGACAAACAGAUGAAGGCUUCCAAAACCUAUUCAUUUCUAUUACUUUUCCCAUUAGUGGACGUUUUCUAGUUUGAACUUAUUUUAACUCAAACUUUAGAAAUUUCCCUUGAGAGCAAACACAAGUAUUGUUUUGUCUGUGUGUGCUUGAGUGUCUUCCUUUAGUUUAAAAUAUUUCCAAUAAAAGAAAUACAGCCAAAAUACAUACAGCCCAUUUUUGAAGCCUCUAACUUAUUAGCGUACACAAUUUUUUCACGUGGUCAUGAUUUUUAGAGCAUGUAACUUCAAUGCGUAACAGAAUGGGAACUCAAAAAGCCUUGAAAUUCAUUGUUUUGAGGACAGUUUGGGACUACACGUUUCCCACAGGUAUGUUUUAGUUAAGACUAAAUACCACCAGAAUAUUAGUUACGGUUCAGGAUCAGGAUCUUUUUUUAAACCAAGAAAUAAGAAAAGCUUGCUGUCAGCAACUGUGGGUGCAGCUUAAAAUGUCUUCCAUCGUUACAACAUUGCCCUCCCAAGAACUUAGAAACUC